GUACACCUAAGCCAAGCCAAGGUCAUUUCAACAAAAGUGAAUAUUUCUUCUUAUGCCAAGUGGGGCCUCUGUGGCCAAGUGGUCUAAGUAGUUACUACUGUAAUCACUAGCCAGUCAACACUGAGGUUGUGAGUUCGAACCCCGCUCCUGCGGGUGCACUCGACUCCAAUCUUAAUUGACUAGGAUUUUCAGUUUUCCUAUCGAAGGUCGGUGGUUUUCUCUGGGCACUCCGGCUUCCUCCACCAAUAAAAACUGGCCGCCACGAAAUAGCCCAAAAGCAGUGCUAAAAAGUGGCGUUAAAACACCAAAAAUCAAAUCAAAUCUUAUGCCAAGUGAAUCAGUUAGAAAUUUAUAUUUCAUCUAAGCCAAGGUUUUGUUGACAUUUCUUGUUAUGUAAUUUAUAGUACAACUAAGCCAAGGUCAUUUCUACAAAGGUCAAUGUUCUAGUGAUGUUCAUGAUGUUCAGUGAAUAAGUCAACAACUUAUAGUACACCUAAUCAGUUCAUUUCUACAAAGGUCAAUGUUCUAGUGAUGUUCAUGAUGUUCAGUGAAUAAGUCAACAACUUAUAGUACACCUAAUCAGUUCAUUUCUACAAAGGUCAAUGUUCUAGUGAUGUUCAUGAUGUUCAGUGAAUAAGUCAACAACUUAUAGUACACCUAAUCAGUUCAUUUCUACAAAGGUCAAUGUUCUGGUGAUGGUCAGUGAAUAAGUCAACAACUUAUAGUACACCUAAUCAGUUCAUUUCUACAAAGGUCAAUGUUCUGGUGAUGGUCAGUGAAUAAGUCAACAACUUAUAGUACACCUAAUCAGUUCAUUUCUACAAAGGUCAAUGUUCUAGUGAUGGUCAGUGAAUAAGUCAACAACUUAUAGUACACCUAAUCAGUUCAUUUCUACAAAGGUCAAUGUUCUGGUGAUGGUCAGUGAAUAAGUCAACAACUUAUAGUACACCUAAUCGGUUCAUUUCUACAAAGGUCAAUGUUCUGGUGAUGGUCAGUGAAUAAGUCAACAACUUAUAGUACACCUAAUCAGUUCAUUUCUACAAAGGUCAAUGUUCUGGUGAUGAUGAGUGAAUCAUUCUGUAG
Long non-coding RNA from Mytilus californianus (California mussel), 1083 nucleotides. RefSeq lists it as uncharacterized. The record is from RefSeq and is a predicted model, not a curated record. NCBI's taxonomy places the organism in Eukaryota, Metazoa, Mollusca, Bivalvia, Mytilida, Mytilidae. The transcript is spliced from 3 exons.